This 234-nucleotide ribosomal RNA is filed under the name uncultured bacterium. RNAcentral describes it as "partial 16S ribosomal RNA". It matches the Rfam family "Bacterial small subunit ribosomal RNA", at positions 99 to 334 of the family's 1533-position model. The record is from RNAcentral.
CGGACGGGUGAGUAAUGUCUGGGAAACGUGCCUGAUGGAGGGGGAUAACUACUGGAAACGGUAGCUAAUACCGCAUAACGUCGCAAGACCGAAGAGGGGGGCCGUUAGGGCCUCUUGCCAUCGGAUGUGCCCAGAUGGGAUUAGCUAGUAGGUGGGGUAACGGCUCACCUAGGCGACGAUCCCUAGCUGGUCUGAGAGGAUGACCAGCCACACUGGAACUGAGACACGGUCCAG